GGCUCAGUGUUAGAGUGCUUGCCUUGCAUGCAUGAGGCCCUGGGUUCUAUUCCUAG
RNAcentral lists this transfer RNA (56 nucleotides) under Dipodomys ordii (Ord's kangaroo rat). It matches the Rfam family "tRNA", at positions 9 to 63 of the family's 71-position model. From Rfam's summary of the family: Transfer RNA (tRNA) molecules are approximately 80 nucleotides in length. Their secondary structure includes four short double-helical elements and three loops (D, anti-codon, and T loops). The record is from Rfam by way of RNAcentral. Lineage: Eukaryota; Metazoa; Chordata; Mammalia; Rodentia; Heteromyidae.